UUUGGCAGCUGGAUGUUGCCUUGAACUUGCCCGAUCUCGUCUCAUCUCGGAAGCUAAGCAGGGUCGGGCCUGGUGAGUACUAGGAUGGGAGACCACUUAGGCAUACCAGGUGCUGUAGGCG
Molecule: ribosomal RNA, 121 nt
Filed under: Pteropus alecto (black flying fox)
Lineage: Eukaryota; Metazoa; Chordata; Mammalia; Chiroptera; Pteropodidae
Source: RNAcentral